CAACAGGCUUUUGCAACAGGAAUCGGUGAACCGUGUCAGGAUCGGAAGAUAGCAGCACUAAGUCGAGCCCCCUGUGUGCGGAAACAACCUGUUGGGU
This 97-nucleotide signal recognition particle RNA is filed under the name Clostridia bacterium. RNAcentral's name for it is "signal recognition particle sRNA small type". It matches the Rfam family "Bacterial small signal recognition particle RNA". From Rfam's summary of the family: The signal recognition particle (SRP) is a universally conserved ribonucleoprotein involved in the co-translational targeting of proteins to membranes. Archaeal SRP consists of a 7S RNA and homologues of the eukaryotic SRP19 and SRP54 proteins. In most bacteria, the SRP consists of a 4.5S RNA and the Ffh protein (a homologue of the eukaryotic SRP54 protein). Lineage: Bacteria; Bacillati; Bacillota; Clostridia. The record is from RNAcentral. RNAcentral also lists the same sequence under 2 other names.